Mya arenaria is the source of this 1167-nucleotide RNA transcript. RefSeq lists it as uncharacterized. The record is from RefSeq and is a predicted model, not a curated record. The transcript is spliced from 5 exons. Lineage: Eukaryota; Metazoa; Mollusca; Bivalvia; Myida; Myidae.
UUCGCGACUGUUAGUACUAUCAAGAUGGGAGCUAUAACUGUGUGUUUGUUGAUUAUCUGUUGCCCUCUAGUUUGCUUUGGACGGCAAGUUAAGAUCCCAGUCGGCAUGUCAAUAGCUGACUUUAACGAUAAGGUUGUGGCGAAAUUCCAACGACAAGUCUACUGGGCAGUACCUCUAAUAAAUGGUACACCCGAGUUUUUUCCUGAUCUAGGCUACCAGCUUAAAAUCAAACAACUGGAAGAACAGAACAGAUACCUAUUAACCGCAAUCGGUGAUGUCGCGGAUGGAUAUUCUGUCGCACUGCAAAAUUGUAAGACAAGUUCUUUCUACUUUGAAAAUGUUGCGUAUGAUGGUACAAUCCUGCUCAACAAUAAUGUCGGAACUACCAAUCGCUAUGUUGUCUUCUGGUCAUCCGACGUAGAUCACUACACAUUGAUGCUACGAUGUUUAAAGGAAGGCAUAUCAGAACCAAGGACGUGCAAGGUAGAUACACGGCAAUAAGUCUGUUCGUACCAGACACACUCGACAAUCUAAAAUGGAGCAUAGUAUUGAAAGACCUUGAGGAGACCGAUGUUGAGUUUGGUGACGAACGUUAUGAAUGGUUUUUCAAUUUCAACUAUGGGAAAAGCAUGUGUGUUGACGUGUGAUGACUGUUCAGAUUGUUUGCGGCACGGAACAAUGUCAUCUGAUUAGACAAGUGUCAUCAAUUUUAUUUGCACUUUUAAUAUUUGCUUGUGUUUGAGCCUGUUUGUGCCCUCCGUUUAACAUAAAACAAUAUUUAUGAAUCUUGACAAAACAACACCACCACCAUCACCACCACCACCAACAACAACAAAAACAAUAACAACAAAAAAUCCAUCAUUCAGUCACAGGGUGUACCUUUUAAACAGAAACUUUUAAAGUAUGUUUUUAAAUAAAGUUUCUUUUAUCUCCUGCGUUGCCGGGUUUUUUUAUUUGAAAGGAAUGAAAGCUAGAUAUAUAGAUUUUUCAAUGCUCUUUUACCACCCAUAAGCAGGAUAACUGUAUGUGUUUUGGAUUUGGUUCCCGCUUGCAGUGUUUGCUGCACGAUGCUACAGGGAUGUUCGCCUUAGUGGUGAAUAAACUCACGGUUGUUCUUCUUACAUUGUUUACUUUUAUUAUAUUUCUCAAGGUCAUAAAGUAUUACAA